This 381-nucleotide ribosomal RNA is filed under the name uncultured bacterium. RNAcentral describes it as "partial 16S ribosomal RNA". The record is from RNAcentral.
UGGUGUUCCUUCCUAUAUCUACGCAUUUCACCGCUACACAGGAAAUUCCACCACCCUCUACCGUACUCUAGCUCAGUAGUUUUGGAUGCAGUUCCCAGGUUGAGCCCGGGGAUUUCACAUCCAACUUGCUGAACCACAUACGCGCGCUUUACGCCCAGUAAUUCCGAUUAACGCUUGCACCCUUCGUAUUACCGCGGCUGCUGGCACGAAGUUAGCCGGUGCUUAUUCUGUUGGUAACGUCAAAACAGCAAGGUAUUAACUUACUGCCCUUCCUCCCAACUUAAAGUGCUUUACAAUCCGAAGACCUUCUUCACACACGCGGCAUGGCUGGAUCAGGCUUUCGCCCAUUGUCCAAUAUUCCCCACUGCUGCCUCCCGUAGG